This 42-nucleotide transfer RNA is filed under the name Cayratia wrayi. RNAcentral's name for it is "partial tRNA-Leu". The record is from RNAcentral. Lineage: Eukaryota; Viridiplantae; Streptophyta; Magnoliopsida; Vitales; Vitaceae.
GAAAAUCCGUCGACUUUAUAAAUCGUGAGGGUUCAAGUCCCU